UACGUAGGGGGCGAGCGUUGUCCGGAAUCAUUGGGCGUAAAGCGCGUGUAGGCGGCUCGAUAAGUCCGGUGUGAAACCUUGGGGCUCAACCCCAAGCCUGCACUGGAUACUGCCGAGCUAGAGUCCGGGAGGGGAGAGCGGAAUUCCUAGUGUAGCGGUGAAAUGCGCAGAUAUUAGGAAGAACACCAGUGGCGAAGGCGGCUCUCUGGAACGGUACUGACGCUGAGACGCGAAAGCGUGGGGAGCGAACAGG
RNAcentral lists this ribosomal RNA (253 nucleotides) under uncultured bacterium. RNAcentral describes it as "partial 16S ribosomal RNA". It matches the Rfam family "Bacterial small subunit ribosomal RNA", at positions 524 to 776 of the family's 1533-position model. The record is from RNAcentral.